AGAGUUUGAUCAUGGCUCAGAUUGAACGCUGGCGGCAGGCUUAACACAUGCAAGUCGAGCGGAUGAAAGGAGCUUGCUCCUGGAUUCAGCGGCGGACGGGUGAGUAAUGCCUAGGAAUCUGCCUGGUAGUGGGGGACAACGUUUCGAAAGGAACGCUAAUACCGCAUACGUCCUACGGGAGAAAGCAGGGGACCUUCGGGCCUUGCGCUAUCAGAUGAGCCUAGGUCGGAUUAGCUAGUUGGUGAGGUAAUGGCUCACCAAGGCGACGAUCCGUAACUGGUCUGAGAGGAUGAUCAGUCACACUGGAACUGAGACACGGUCCAGACUCCUACGGGAGGCAGUAGUGGGGAAUAUUGGACAAUGGGCGAAAGCCUGAUCCAGCCAUGCCGCGUGUGUGAAGAAGGUCUUCGGAUUGUAAAGCACUUUAAGUUGGGAGGAAGGGCAGUUACCUAAUACGUAAUUGUUUUGACGUUACCGACAGAAUAAGCACCGGCUAACUCUGUGCCGGCAGCCGCGGUAAUACAGAGGGUGCAAGCGUUAAUCGGAAUUACUGGGCGUAAAGCGCGCGUAGGUGGUUCGUUAAGUUGGAUGUGAAAUCCCCGGGCUCAACCUGGGAACUGCAUUCAAAACUGUCGAGCUAGAGUAUGGUAGAGGGUGGUGGAAUUUCCUGUGUAGCGGUGAAAUGCGUAAAUAUGGGAAGGAACACCAGUGGGCGAAGGCGACCACCUGGACUGAUACUGACACUGAGGUGCGAAAGCGUGGGGAGCAAACAGGAUUAGAUACCCUGUUAGUCCACGCCGUAAACGAUGUCAACUAGCCGUUGGGAGCCUGAGCUCUUAGUGGCGCAGCCUAACGCAUUA
Molecule: ribosomal RNA, 860 nt
Filed under: uncultured Gammaproteobacteria bacterium
Lineage: Bacteria; Pseudomonadati; Pseudomonadota; Gammaproteobacteria
Description: bacterial SSU rRNA
Rfam family: Bacterial small subunit ribosomal RNA
Source: RNAcentral